Arachis ipaensis is the source of this 149-nucleotide non-coding RNA. NCBI's taxonomy places the organism in Eukaryota, Viridiplantae, Streptophyta, Magnoliopsida, Fabales, Fabaceae. The record is from RefSeq and is a predicted model, not a curated record.
AUACACACCAUUGAUCUCUGUUCAGUGCUAAUGUCUCGGUUCAUCGUCACUACCAUCUCAGUUCUCCAUCGCGAUUCUGAGACAUUCGAAUGUGAAGACGGAGUGGUGAGUGGAGAUGAAUCAGUUACAAAUGAAGAGUGGGGGAAGAG